RNAcentral lists this ribosomal RNA (395 nucleotides) under uncultured bacterium. RNAcentral's name for it is "bacterial SSU rRNA". It matches the Rfam family "Bacterial small subunit ribosomal RNA", at positions 167 to 555 of the family's 1533-position model. The record is from RNAcentral.
UACCGCGUAACGCCGCGGGGCUGCAUGGCCCCGCGGCCAAAGGAAGCGAUUCCGGCGGGGGAUGGGCAUGCGGCGCAUUAGCUAGUCGGCGGGGUAACGGCCCACCGAGGCGACGAUGCGUAGGGGUUCUGAGAGGAAGGUCCCCCACACUGGUACUGAGACACGGACCAGACUCCUACGGGAGGCAGCAGUGAGGAAUAUUGGUCAAUGGGCGUAAGCCUGAACCAGCCAAGUCGCGUGAGGGAAGACGGUCCUACGGAUUGUAAACCUCUUUUGCCGGGGAGCAACGGGGUCCUUGCGAGGGCCUUAUGAGAGUACCCGGAGAAAAAGCAUCGGCUAACUCCGUGCCAACAGCCGCGGAAAUACGGAGGAUGCGAGCGUUAUCCGGAUUUAUU